AAUAGCUCACUCGUGAUGGGGCAUUGUGAUUUUCUAGGAAUGUUGUAGAAGUUUAAAUUGAAAAUGAAAA
Long non-coding RNA from Hippocampus comes (tiger tail seahorse), 70 nucleotides. RefSeq lists it as uncharacterized. Lineage: Eukaryota; Metazoa; Chordata; Actinopteri; Syngnathiformes; Syngnathidae. The transcript is spliced from 3 exons. The record is from RefSeq and is a predicted model, not a curated record.